AUGAACGCUGGCGGAGUGCCUAAUACAUGCAAGUCGAGCGGCAGCGCGAGUAGUUUACUACUUGGCGGCGAGCGGCGGACGGCUGAGUAACGCGUGGGAACGUGCCCCAAAGUGAGGAAUAACUGCCCGAAAGGGUAGCUAAUGCCGCAUAUGAUCUUCGGAUUAAAGGAUUUAUCCGCUUUGGGAGCGGCCCGCGUACGAUUAGAUAGUUGGUGAGGUAAUGGCUCACCAAGUCGACGAUCGUUAACUGGUUUGAGAGGAUGAUCAGUCAGACUGGAACUGAGACACGGUCCAGACUCCUACGGGAGGCAGCAGUAAGGAAUCUUCCACAAUGGACGAAAGUCUGAUGGAGCAACUCCGCGUGCAGGAUGAAGGCCCUCGGGUCGUAAAGCUCUGUCUUUGGGGACGAUAAUGACGGUACCCAAGGAGGAAGCCACGGCUAACUACGUGCCAGCAGCCGCGGUAAUACGUAGGUGGCAAGCGUUGUCCGGAUUUACUGGGCGUAAAGGAUGCGUAGGUGGAUAUUUAAGUCAGAUGUGAAAUACCCGAGCUUAACUUGGGUGCUGCAUUUGAAACUGGAUAUCUAGAGUGCAGGAGAGGUAAGUGGAAUUCCUAGUGUAGCGGUGAAAUGCGUAGAGAUUAGGAAGAGCACCAGUGGCGAAGGCGACUUACUGGACUGUAACUGACACUGAGGCAUGAAAGCGUGGGGAGCAAACAGGAUUAGAUACCCUGGUAGUCCACGCCGUAAACGAUGAGUACUAGGUGUAGGAGGUAUCGACUCCUUCUGUGCCGCAGUUAACACAAUAAGUACUCCGCCUGGGAAGUACGGUCGCAAGAUUAAAACUCAAAGGAAUUGACGGGGGCCCGCACAAGCAGCGGAGCAUGUGGUUUAAUUCGAAGCAACGCGAAGAACCUUACCUAGACUUGACAUCUCCUGAAUAGCCGGUAACUCGGCGAAGCCCUUCGGGGCAGGAAGACAGGUGGUGCAUGGUUGUCGUCAGCUCGUGUCGUGAGAUGUUGGGUUAAGUCCCGCAACGAGCGCAACCCUUAUCAUUAGUUGCUACCAUUUAGUUGAGCACUCUAAUGAGACUGCCGUGGUUAACGCGGAGGAAGGUGGAGAUGACGUCAAAUCAUCAUGCCCCUUAUGUCUAGGGCUACACACGUGCUACAAUGGUGAGUACAAAGAGAUGCAAUACCGUGAGGUGGAGCCAAACUCAAAAACUCAUCCCAGUUCGGAUUGUAGGCUGAAACUCGCCUACAUGAAGCCGGAGUUGCUAGUAAUCGCGAAUCAGCAUGUCGCGGUGAAUACGUUCCCGGGCCUUGUACACACCGCCCGUCACACCAUGAGAGUCUUCAACACCCGAAGUCCGUGAGGUAACCCGUAAGGGAGCCAGCGGCCGAAGGUGGGGGCGAUGAUUGGGGUGAAG
Molecule: ribosomal RNA, 1427 nt
Filed under: uncultured bacterium
Lineage: Bacteria
Description: bacterial SSU rRNA
Rfam family: Bacterial small subunit ribosomal RNA
Source: RNAcentral